UACGUAGGUGGCAAGCGUUGUCCGGAAUUAUUGGGCGUAAAGCGCGCGCAGGCGGCCUUUUAAGUCUGAUGUGAAAGCCCACGGCUCAACCGUGGAAGGUCAUUGGAAACUGAAAGGCUUGAGUACAGAAGAGGGAAGCGGAAUUCCACGUGUAGCGGUGAAAUGCGUAGAGAUGUGGAGGAACACCAGUGGCGAAGGCGGCUUUCUGGUCUGUAACUGACGCUGAGGCGCGAAAGCGUGGGGAGCAAACAGG
This 253-nucleotide ribosomal RNA is filed under the name uncultured bacterium. Its description in RNAcentral is "partial 16S ribosomal RNA". It matches the Rfam family "Bacterial small subunit ribosomal RNA", at positions 524 to 776 of the family's 1533-position model. The record is from RNAcentral.